GUUUACAGCCAUGCUACCCUGAACAAGCCCAAUCCCAUCUGAUCUUGGAAGCUAAGCAGGGUCGGGCCUGGUUAGUACUUGAAUGGGAGACCACCUAGGAAGACCAGGUGCUAUAGGCG
RNAcentral lists this ribosomal RNA (119 nucleotides) under Pteropus alecto (black flying fox). Lineage: Eukaryota; Metazoa; Chordata; Mammalia; Chiroptera; Pteropodidae. The record is from RNAcentral.